Molecule: ribosomal RNA, 278 nt
Filed under: Nasutitermes corniger
Lineage: Eukaryota; Metazoa; Arthropoda; Insecta; Blattodea; Termitidae
Description: partial 16S ribosomal RNA
Source: RNAcentral
AUUACACAAUAAUUACUAUACAAACCAAAGUAAAGAAAACAUUUCAAUAAAUAACUUAAAUAACAAAAAAUUAAAAAAAGAACAAAUAAAAUUUUAACAUAAUCAAAUAGAAAAUCACCAUAAAAUCCACAAAACUAAAUUAAACUCAGACAAUUAUAAAGCUAGAACAAGGAGCUAAUCCCCCUUAAUCUUAACAUCAAAUAAAAAUAAAUAAAUCAACAACAGAAAUUAAAUAAGAUGUAUGAAUUAAAUUCAUUUCUUGAAAAACCAGAAACCAC